RNAcentral lists this ribosomal RNA (522 nucleotides) under Triticum aestivum (bread wheat). RNAcentral's name for it is "partial small subunit ribosomal RNA". The record is from RNAcentral. Lineage: Eukaryota; Viridiplantae; Streptophyta; Magnoliopsida; Poales; Poaceae.
AUGGAGGCAAAUGCCAAUGCAGCCCAGGAAGUGAACAGAAUCUUGCAUAUUUACGAAGCAUGCUCAGGAGAGAUGAUCAAUAAGGAAAAAUCAGCAAUAAUGUUCAGCAAGAACACAGAGGAAAGAAAAAUAAAUGAGAUGAAGAGGAUCUUAGGCAUCAACAUUGAAGGUUUUUCAGGCAGAUACUUAGGCCCACCAGUAUACAUAGGCAAGAACAAAACAAAAACCUUCAACUUUAUAAGGGAGAGAGUCUGGAAGAAAAUCCAGGGAGGAAAUGAGAAACUUUUAUCAAAAGCAGGAAAGGAGAUAUUGAUUAAAGCAGUUGCUCAAGCAAUACCAGUUUACGCCAUGUCAUGUUUUGAUCUCACAAAAUCAUUUUGUGAGGACUUAAGCUCUAUGAUCAAUCGUUACUGGUGGAGCCAGAUGGACAAAGAAAAUAAAAUCCAUUGGGUAAGCUGGGAAAAAAUGACAAAACCAAAGAAGGACGGAGGUUUAGGUUUUAGGAACUUACAUUUUUUUUAA